GCUCCCUUCGCUUAGUCGGUUAAAGCGAAGGUCUCAUAAUCCUUAGCCCUGAGUUCGAUUCUCAGAGGGAGCA
This 73-nucleotide transfer RNA is filed under the name Kwoniella pini CBS 10737. RNAcentral's name for it is "tRNA-Met (CAT) (tRNA-Met-CAT-1-1)". It matches the Rfam family "tRNA". Rfam says of the family: Transfer RNA (tRNA) molecules are approximately 80 nucleotides in length. Their secondary structure includes four short double-helical elements and three loops (D, anti-codon, and T loops). Lineage: Eukaryota; Fungi; Basidiomycota; Tremellomycetes; Tremellales; Cryptococcaceae. The record is from RNAcentral.